GCCCGCUUAGCUCAGUGGUAGAGCGCGUCACUUGUAAUGGAUCAUUUGAUCCAAGAGAUGAUGAGGUCGGUUGUUCAAUCCAGCCAGUGGGCA
This is a transfer RNA of Rhizopogon vinicolor AM-OR11-026, 93 nucleotides long. It matches the Rfam family "tRNA". From Rfam's summary of the family: Transfer RNA (tRNA) molecules are approximately 80 nucleotides in length. Their secondary structure includes four short double-helical elements and three loops (D, anti-codon, and T loops). The record is from Rfam. Lineage: Eukaryota; Fungi; Basidiomycota; Agaricomycetes; Boletales; Rhizopogonaceae.